UACGUAGGGUGCGAGCGUUAAUCGGAAUCAUUGGGCGUAAAGCGCGCGCAGGCGGAUCAGAAAGUCAGAUGUGAAAUCUCGAAGCUCAACUUCGAAACUGCGUCUGAAACUGCUAGUCUAGAAUGUCGGAGGGGAUAGGGGAAUUUCACGUGUAGGGGUAAAAUCCGUAGAGAUGUGAAGGAACACCGGAGGCGAAGGCGCCUAUCUGGACGACUAUUGACGCUGAGGCUCGAAAGCGUGGGGAGCAAACAGG
This 253-nucleotide ribosomal RNA is filed under the name uncultured bacterium. RNAcentral's name for it is "partial 16S ribosomal RNA". It matches the Rfam family "Bacterial small subunit ribosomal RNA", at positions 524 to 776 of the family's 1533-position model. The record is from RNAcentral.